This 226-nucleotide ribosomal RNA is filed under the name uncultured Candida. Its description in RNAcentral is "partial 26S ribosomal RNA". Lineage: Eukaryota; Fungi; Ascomycota; Saccharomycetes; Saccharomycetales. The record is from RNAcentral.
ACAACUCGACUCCGCGGAGGGGGCUGAAAGGUCGGUAAAGGAGACACACGGGGCUCUCACCCUCUAUGGCGCCUCGUUCCAGAGGACUUGGUCUCCCACCAGCCGUUAGCUUCCCACCAAUCUACAACGCUCCGAAGAGCUUUCAAAAUGGAGCUUUUGCCGCUUCACUCGCAGCUACUGAGGCAAUCCCUGUUGGUUUCUUUUCCUCCGCGCUUAUUGAUAUGCA